This 3157-nucleotide small RNA is filed under the name Pan troglodytes (chimpanzee). RNAcentral's name for it is "retained intron". The record is from RNAcentral. Lineage: Eukaryota; Metazoa; Chordata; Mammalia; Primates; Hominidae.
GCUGGAGGUUCGCUAGCCGAAGCGGCUGCAUCUGGCGCCGCGUCUGCCCCGCGUGCUCGGAGCGGAUUCUGCCCGCCGUCCCCGGAGCCCUCGGCGCCCCGCUGAGCCCGCGAUCACUUCCUCCCUGUGACCAACCGGCGCUGCAGGUUAGAGCCUGGCAAUGCCGUUUGGGUGUGUGACUCUGGGCGACAAGAAGAACUAUAACCAGCCAUCGGAGGUGACUGACAGAUAUGAUUUGGGACAGGUCAUCAAGACUGAGGAGUUCUGUGAAAUCUUCCGGGCCAAGGACAAGACGACAGGCAAGCUGCACACCUGCAAGAAGUUCCAGAAGCGGGACGGCCGCAAGGUGCGGAAAGCUGCCAAGAACGAGAUAGGCAUCCUCAAGAUGGUGAAGCAUCCCAACAUCCUACAGCUGGUGGAUGUGUUUGUGACCCGCAAGGAGUACUUUAUCUUCCUGGAGCUGGCCACGGGGAGGGAGGUGUUUGACUGGAUCCUGGACCAGGGCUACUACUCGGAGCGAGACACAAGCAACGUGGUACGGCAAGUCCUGGAGGCCGUGGCCUAUUUGCACUCACUCAAGAUCGUGCACAGGAAUCUCAAGCUGGAGAACCUGGUUUACUACAACCGGCUGAAGAACUCGAAGAUUGUCAUCAGUGACUUCCAUCUGGCUAAGCUAGAAAAUGGCCUCAUCAAGGAGCCCUGUGGGACCCCCGAGUAUCUGGGCAAGCAGGGGGUGGGGCAGGGGCAGGGGGAUAAUGGGGGGCAGCCUUCAGGGAGCUGCUCUGGGCAGGGGGAAAAUGUGCUCAUCUCAGGAAGCUGGUGUGGAUGGUACUGGACCUGGCUAGGCCUGAUACUGACCAGCAGAUGGGCGCUGUGUUUGUAGCCCCAGAAGUGGUAGGCCGGCAGCGGUAUGGACGCCCUGUGGACUGCUGGGCCAUUGGAGUCAUCAUGUACAUCCUGCUUUCAGGCAACCCACCUUUCUAUGAGGAGGUGGAAGAAGAUGAUUAUGAGAACCAUGAUAAGAAUCUCUUCCGCAAGAUCCUGGCUGGUGACUAUGAGUUUGACUCUCCAUAUUGGGAUGAUAUUUCGCAGGCAGCCAAAGACUUGGUCACAAGGCUGAUGGAGGUGGAGCAAGACCAGCGGAUCACUGCAGAAGAGGCCAUCUCCCAUGAGUGGAUUUCUGGCAAUGCUGCUUCUGAUAAGAACAUCAAGGAUGGUGUCUGUGCCCAGAUUGAAAAGAACUUUGCCAGGGCCAAGUGGAAGAAGGCUGUCCGAGUGACCACCCUCAUGAAACGGCUCCGGGCACCAGAGCAGUCCAGCACGGCUGCAGCCCAGUCGGCCUCAGCCACAGACACUGCCACCCCCGGGGCUGCAGGUGGGGCCACAGCUGCAGCUGCGAGUGGAGCUACCUCAGCCCCUGAGGGUGAUGCUGCUCGUGCUGCAAAGAGUGAUAAUGUGGCCCCCGCAGACCGUAGUGCCACCCCAGCCACAGAUGGAAGUGCCACCCCAGCCACUGAUGGCAGUGUCACCCCAGCCACCGAUGGAAGCAUCACUCCAGCCACUGAUGGGAGUGUCACCCCAGCCACUGACAGGAGCGCUACUCCAGCCACUGAUGGGAGAGCCACACCAGCCACAGAAGAGAGCACUGUGCCCACCACCCAAAGCAGUGCCACGCUGGCCACCAAGGCAGCUGCCACCCCUGAGCCGGCUAUGGCCCAGCCGGACAGCACAGCCCCAGAGGGCGCCACAGGCCAGGCUCCACCCUCUAGUAAAGGGGAAGAGGCUGCUGGUUAUGCCCAGGAGUCUCAAAGGGAGGAGGCCAGCUGAGUAGGCAGCCUGGUGAGGGGGGGCGGGGGAUGGGCAGGAGGGUGGGAGAGUGGAUGAGGGGCUUCUCACUGUACAUAGAGUCACUGGCAUGAUGCCCUCGCUCCCCCAUGCCCCCACAUCCCAGUGGGGCAUAACUAGGGGUCACGGGAGAGCAGUCUCGUCUCCUGUGUGUAUGUGUGUGAGUGGUGGGCAGGCCAGUGGCAGGGCCGGCCCCAGCCCCUGCAUGGAUUCCUUGUGGCUUUUCUGUCUUUUGCUAGCUUCACCAGUUUCUGUUCCUUGUGGGAUGCUGCUCUAGGGAUACUCAGGGGGCUCCUGCUCUCCUUCCCCUUCCCUUCUUGCCUCACCAUUCCCCUAGGCAGGCCCUGCAGGUCCCACACUCUCCCAGGCCCUAAACUUGGGCGGCCUUGCCCUGAGAGCUGGUCCUCCAGCGAGGCCCUGUCAGCGGUCUUAGGCUCCUGCACAUGAAGGUGUGUGCCUGUGGUGUGUGGGCUGCUCUAGGAGCAGAUACAGGCUGGUAUAGAGGAUGCAGAAAGGUAGGGCAGUAUGUUUAAGUCCAGACUUGGCACAUGGCUAGGGAUACUGCUCACUAGCUGUGGAGGUCCUCAGGAGUGGAGAGAAUGAGUAGGAGGGCAGAAGCUUCCAUUUUUGUCCUUCCUAAGACCCUGUUAUUUGUGUUAUUUCCUGCCUUUCCGAGUCCUGCAGUGGGCUGCCCUGUACCCUGAACCUCAUGAGCCUCUAAGGGAAAGGAGGAACAAUUAGGACGUGGCAAUGAGACCUGGCAGGGCAGAGUACAAGCCCAGCACCCAGUGUUCCAGCCUUACUGGGUCCUUACCCUGGGCCAAACAGGGAGGGCUGAUAUCUCCUUGCUCUUCCUAGAUGCCCACCCCCUACAAUCUCAGCCCACAAGUCCUCUCCACCCUAGGGGGCUUGCUGCAUGGCAAUAACUCAUAAUCUGAUUUGGAGGUUUGCCCUUUACAGGGGCAGAUUUUCUGCUCAGUUCAACAAUGAAAUGAAGAGGAACUCCCUCUUUCUACAGCUCACUUCUAUCAGAGGCCCAGGUGCCUCAGAGCCACAUUGAGUUGCUUUUUCUGGGAUGAGGAAGUAGAGUUAAACUCCCCAGUUUCCUGAGGGAGGCUCCUGACAGGUGCCCUUUGUCAGACCCUACCACAGCCUGGAUAGGCAGCCACAUUGGUCCUCGCCCUUGCUCGGCACUCCGUGGUGGUCCUGCCCUUCUCCCUGCAUGCCUGUGGGUCUGCUCUGGUGUGUGAAGGUCGGUGGGUUAACUGUGUGCCUACUGAACCUGGCAAAUAAACAUCACCCUGCAAAGCCU